GACGAACGCUGGCGGCGUGCUUAACACAUGCAAGUCGAACGGAAAGGCCCUGCUUUUGUGGGGUGCUCGAGUGGCGAACGGGUGAGUAACACGUGAGUAACCUGCCCUUGACUUUGGGAUAACUUCAGGAAACUGGGGCUAAUACCGGAUAGGAGCUCCUGCUGCAUGGUGGGGGAUGGAAAGUUUCGGCGGUUGGGGAUGGACUCGCGGCUUAUCAGCUUGUUGGUGGGGUAGUGGCUUACCAAGGCUUUGACGGGUAGCCGGCCUGAGAGGGUGACCGGCCACAUUGGGACUGAGAUACGGCCCAGACGCCUACGGGAGGCAGCAGUGGGGAAUAUUGCACAGUGGGCGGAAGCCUGAUGCAGCAACGCCGCGUGCGGGAUGCCGGCCUUCGGGUUGUAAACCGCUUUCGCCUGUGACGAAGCGUGAGUGACGGUAAUGGGUAAAGAAGCACCGGCUAACUACGUG
Molecule: ribosomal RNA, 468 nt
Filed under: uncultured bacterium
Lineage: Bacteria
Description: partial 16S ribosomal RNA
Rfam family: Bacterial small subunit ribosomal RNA
Source: RNAcentral